Molecule: long non-coding RNA, 885 nt
Organism: Herpailurus yagouaroundi (jaguarundi)
Lineage: Eukaryota; Metazoa; Chordata; Mammalia; Carnivora; Felidae
Exons: 3
Source: RefSeq, a predicted model, not a curated record
CUCUUCCCUGUCGGUGACAGCGAGCCCAUUCACACGCUGCGCUCUGCACAAAGUUUAGAUUAAACUCUUCGGUCACAAGUCGUUUUCUUUAAACCUCAGCCUAGGAGAAAGCACGUUCCUCCCCUCCAUGCCUUCUCUUCCUCCCCUUCGUCCUCCCUUCUCUCAUCCUCCUGCUUCACAAAACUUGGAUCCGACUCCUGUCUUUUCUCUUGACUGUACCUCAUGAACUACUCUCCAUAAGCCAACGUUUUCUCCCGUCAUGAUUUGAACGGUUCUAUUAGAUUCCACCCCCCACGAAUGCCUCUCGUGUAUUUUACUCUUCCCUAUUAUUAAAGCCACCCUUUGAGUUUCAAAGCAGAUGUUGUAGAACUUCCCUAUGCAAAAAGCGGGGCUAGCAACUGGACCUUUUCCCCAUGGUGGCCACCUCGAUGUUCUCCCUGCGACUUAUUUCCAGGUCUGCUUCCACUUCGUAUCAUCAUGAACUGCACACGAGCUUUGCAUCACAAGCCAUGCCAUUUUUUGAUGUGUUAGGAGUUUCUGCCUCUCCGGCAACUUCCUCAGCAUCCCGCAGGCUUGCUCUCUGGCUGGGUAGACCUACUCAGGUCAGCAGUUUGAUCGCUAGUCGUGCAGACAUGACCCACUGGACUAUGGAUGUUCUUUGUGCUUCUACUCUUACCAUUCAAUUACCAAAAUUCAUGGAGUAGUCAUUGCAUGGCCAAUCCCAUGCGAGGCAUGAUUUAAAAGGUGCAGUAUGGAGGUCUCUGAUGCUGAGGAUAAAAAUGGCAAUAAAAUAAAGCGGUGGUAUGUUAAUGGGUAACAUUAUCUAACACAAGUAUCAGAAACUAUCUUACGCAGGCAGGGUAUAUUUAUUAUUUACUUCUCACA